Molecule: ribosomal RNA, 484 nt
Filed under: uncultured bacterium
Lineage: Bacteria
Description: partial 16S ribosomal RNA
Rfam family: Bacterial small subunit ribosomal RNA
Source: RNAcentral
GACGAACGCUGGCGGCGUGCUUAACACAUGCAAGUCGAACGAUGAAGCCGGAGCUUGCUCUGGUGAAUUAGUGGCGAACGGGUGAGUAACACGUGAGUAACCUGCCCUUGACUCUGGGAUAACUGCGGGAAACUGUAGCUAAUACCGGAUACGACCCUCGGAGGCAUCUCCUGGGGGUGGAAAGAAUUUCGGUCAAGGAUGGACUCGCGGCCUAUCAGCUAGUUGGUGAGGUAGAGGCUCACCAAGGCGACGACGGGUAGCCGGCCGGGGAGGGUGACCGGCCACAGUGGGACUGAGACACGGCCCAGACUCCUACGGGAGGCAGCAGUGGGGAAUAUUGCACAAGGGGCCCAAGCCUGAUGCAGCAACGCCGCGUGGGGGAUGACGGCCUUCGGGUUGUAAACCUCUUUUAGCAGGGAAGAAGCGAAAGUGACGGUACCUGCAGAAAAAGCACCGGCUAACUACGUGCCAGCAGCCGCGGUAA